CUGUCCAUGUCCCCCAGCCAUGUCCAUGUCCGUGUGUCUGUCCCCACGUCCAUGUCCCUGUGUCUGUCCAUGUCCCCACGUCCAUGUCCGUGUGUCUGUCCCCAUGUCCCCCAGCCAUGUCCCUGUCCCCGUGUCCAUGUCCGUGUGUCCCCAGCCAUGUCCCCGUGUCCGUGUGUCUGUCCAUGUCCCCGUGUCCUCAUCCCUGUGUCCAUGUCCCCAUCCCUGUCCCCGUGUCCAAGUCCAUGUCCGUGUGUCUGUCCAUGUCCCCAUGUCCUCAUCCCUGUGUCCCCAUCCCUGUCCCUGUGUCCAUGUCCGUGUCCGUGUGUCUGUCCCCAUGUCCAUGUCCGUGUGUCUGUCCCCAUGUCCAUGUCCGUGUGUCUGUCCAUGUCCCCAGCCAUGUCCCCGUGUCCGUGUGUCUGUCCAUGUCCCCAUGUCCCCAUCCCUGUGUCCCCAUCCCUGUCCCUGUGUCCAAGUCCAUGUCCGUGUGUCUGUCCCCAUCCCUGUCCCGGUGUCCAUGUCCCCGUGUCCGUGUGUCUGUCCAUGUCCCUGUGUCCCCAUCAGUGUCCCCAUUGGUGUCCCACUCACGCAGCCCGGUGGACUCCAUGUGCGACGCCGUGUUCACUGUGUCCCCUGUCCGUGUCCCUGUGUCCCUGUCCCUGUCCCUGUGUCCAUGUCCAUGUCCGUGUGUCUGUCCCUAUGUCCAUGUCUGUGUGUCUGUCCCCAUGUCCGUGUGUCCCCAGCCGUGUCCAUGUGUCCCCAUCAGUGUCCCCAUUGUCCCACUCACGCAGCCUGGUGGACUCCAUGCGCGACGCCGUGUUCGUGUCCCCUGUGUCCAUGUCCCUGUCCCUGUGUCCCUGUGUCUGUGUCCGUGUGUCCCCAUCCCUGUCCCCGUGUCCGUGUCCGUGUGUCCCCAGCCGUGUCCCCAUGUCCCCAUCAGUGUCCCCAUUGUCCCACUCACGCAGCCCGGUGGACUCCAUGCGCGACGCCGUGUUCACCGUGUCCCUGUCCUUGUGUCCCUGUGUCCAUGUCCAUGUGUCCCCAUCCCUGUCCCUGUCCCUGUGUCCAUGUCUGUGUGUCCCCAUCCCUGUCCCUGUCCCUGUGUCCAUGUCUGUGUGUCCCCAUCCCUGUCCAUGUGUCCCCAGCCGUGUCCCUGUGUCCCCAUGUCCCCAUCAGUGUCCCCAUUGGUGUCCCACUCACGCAGCCCGGUGGACUCCAUGCGUGACGCCGUGUUCACCGUGUCCCCUGUCCAUGUGUCCCCAUGUCCGUGUGUCUGUCCCCAUGUCCGUGUGUCUGUCUCCAUGUCCCCAUGUCCAUGUCCGUGUGUCUGUCCAUGUCCAUGUGUCCCCAUCAGUGUCCCCAUUGGUGUCACACUCACGCAGCCCGGUGGACUCCAUGCGCGACGCCGUGUUCACCGUGUCCCCGAACAGGCAGUACCGCGGCAUCUUCAGCCCCACCACGCCCGCACACACCGGGCCUGGGGACACCUGGGUGUCACCGCUGGGGUGCCACUCCCGUCCCCAUUCCCAUUCCUGUCCCCAUUCCCAUUCCCAUUCCCAUUCCCGUUCCCAAUCCCAUCCCCAUUUCCCAUUCCCAUCCCUGUUCCUGUUCCCACCAGUGUGGAUGCCGAUGCGCAGCUCCAUUUCCCAUUUCCAUUCCCAAUCCCAUUUCCCAUUCCCAUUUCUCCGUUCCCAUCCCCAUCCCCAUUCCCACCAGUGUGGAUACCAAUGCCCAUUCCCCAUCCCCAUUUCCCAGUUCCCAUUCCCAUUCCCAUUUCCCAUUUCCCCAUCCCUGUUCCCAUUCCCAUCCCCAUGACCGUUCUCACCGGUGUGGAUACCAAUGCCCAUUCCCCAUUCCCAUUUCCCAGUUCCCAUUCCAUUUCCCAUCCCUGUCCCCAUCCCCAUUCCCAUUCCUAUUUCCCAAUCCCAUCCCCAUUCCCACCACUGUGGAUUCCCAUCUCCAUUCCCAUUCCCCCAUCCCCGUUCCCAUUCCUGUCCCCAUUUCCCUGUUCCCAUUUCCACCAAUGUGGAUGCCAAUGCCCAUUCCUGUUCCCCAUUCCCAUUUCCCGUACCCAUUCCCAUUCCCAUUCUCAUUCCCGUUCCCAAUUCCGUUCAUCCCCACCGGUGUGGAUGCCAAUGCCCAUUCCCAUUUCUCAUUCCCACCAGUGUGGAUUCCCAUCUCCAUUCCCAUUUCCAAUCCCAUUCCCAUCCCCAUUUCCCCGUUCCCAAUCCCAUUUCCAAUCCCAUUCCCAUCCCCAUUUCCCCAUUCCCAUUUCCCCAUUCCCAUUUCCCCAUUCCCAAUCCCAUUUCCAUCCCCAUUUCCCCGUUCCCAAUCCCAUUUCCAAUCCCAUCCCCAUUUCCCCAUUCCCAAUCCCAUUCCCAUCCCCAUUUCCCCAUUCCCAAUCCCAUUUCUCCCAUUCCCAUUCCCAUUUUUCCCGUUCCCAUUCCCGUUCAUCCCCACCGGUGUNCCACCCAUGGACUCAUUUCAGGGGUCACCUCCCGCCUCAAAAUCCUCUCUGGAUGUCAUCCCUCAUCUGGGGACUCUUUUUGGGGGUCACCUCCCACCCAUGGACCAUUUUAGGGUGUCACCUCACAUCUGGGGGAUCUUUUUCAGGGGUCACCUCCCAGCUGGGGACUCUUUUUGGGAGUCAUCUCCCACCCAUGGACCAUUUUCAGGGGUCAUCUCCCACCCAUGGACCCUUUUCGGGGGUCACCUCCCGCCUCAAAAUCCUCUCUGGAUGUCAUCCCUCAUCUGGGGACCCUUUUUGAGGGUCACCUCCCACCCAUGGACCCUUUUCAGGGGUCACCUCCCACCCCUGGCUCCUUUCUAGGGGUCAUCUCCCACCCAUGGCCUCAUUUCGGGGGUCACCUCCCGCCUCAAAAUUCUCUCUGGAGGUCAUCCCUCAUCUGGGGACUCUUUUUGGGGGUCACCUCUCACCCAUGGACCAUUUUAGGGUGUCACCUCACAUCUGGGGACCUUUUUCAGGGGUCACCUCCCAGCUGGGGACUCUUUUUGGAGGUCAUCUCCCACCCACAGACUCUUUUUGAAGGUUACCUCCCAUCUAGGGACUUUUUGGGGGUCAUCUUCCAUCUCAGGACCCUUUUUGGGAGUCAUCUCCCAUCCAUGGACUCUUUUCAGGGGUCACCUCCCAUCCAUGGACUCUUUUCAGGGGUCACCUCCCACCUCAAAAUCCUCUCUGGAUGUCAUCCCUCAUCCAGGGACCCUUUUUGAGGGUCACCUCCCACCCAGGGACCUUCUCUGGAUGUCACCCCUCAUCUGGGGACCCUUUCCGAUGGUCAUCACCCACCCAGGAACCCUUUUUGGGGGUCACCUCCCACCCAGGGACCCUCUCUGGAUGUCACCCCUCAUCUGGGGACCCUUUCCGAUGGUCACCACCCACCCAGGAACCCUUUUUGAGGGUCACCCCUCACCCAGGGACCCUCUCUGGAGGCCACCCCUCAACUGGGGACUCUUCCUUGGGGUCACCACCUACUCAGGAACCCUCUCUGGAUGCCACCCCUCAUCUGAGGACCCUUUCUGAUGGUCACCACCCACCCAGGGGCCCUCUCCGGGGGUCCCUGGUGGCACCUGUUGAANUGUCCCCAAUGUCCCCACGGUGUCCCCAGGUGUCCCCAGUGUCCCCAUGGUGUCCCCAAUGUCCCCAAUGUCCCCAUGGUGUCCCCAAGUGUCCCCAAGUGUCCCCACAGUGUCCCCAAGUGUCCCCAUGGUGUUCCCACCCGCUCACCCUCCCCGUUGGACUCCAUGCGU
Zonotrichia albicollis (white-throated sparrow) is the source of this 3765-nucleotide long non-coding RNA. The record is from Ensembl. NCBI's taxonomy places the organism in Eukaryota, Metazoa, Chordata, Aves, Passeriformes, Passerellidae.